This 411-nucleotide ribosomal RNA is filed under the name Verrucomicrobiota bacterium. Its description in RNAcentral is "Verrucomicrobia bacterium partial 16S ribosomal RNA". It matches the Rfam family "Bacterial small subunit ribosomal RNA", at positions 355 to 776 of the family's 1533-position model. Lineage: Bacteria; Pseudomonadati; Verrucomicrobiota. The record is from RNAcentral.
UGGGGAAUCUUGCGCAAUGGGGGAAACCCUGACGCAGCGACGCCGCGUGCGGGAUGAAGGCCUUCGGGUUGUAAACCGCUUUCAGCAGGGACGAGGCCUUAUGGUGACGGUACCUGCAGAAGAAGCUCCGGCUAAAUACGUGCCAGCAGCCGCGGUAACACGUAUGGAGCAAGCGUUAUCCGGAUUCAUUGGGCGUAAAGCGCUCGUAGGCGGUCUGUUAGGUCGGCAAGUUAAAUCCGGGGGCUCAACCCCCGUCCGCUUCCGAUACCGGCAGACUUGAGUUUGGUAGGGGAAGGUGGAAGUCCUAGUGUAGCGGUGGAAUGCGCAGAUAUUAGGAGGAACACCGGUGGCGAAGGCGGCCUUCUGGGCCAUAACUGCCGCUGAGGAGCGAAAGCUAGGGGAGCGAACAGG